CGACGAAGCACCUUUGUGGACGUGGAGUACUGGUUGCAGCCGCUUGAAGGACUGUGUAGAUGGUCACCGCGUUCAGCUGAGGCUUCGCAGACGCUGUCGACAUGACCUCGGCGCUGGCGGAGCUGUCUGAGGCACUGGCCAAUGUUGAGCUGACCGUGCCGGCCGCCCCUGCCCGCUUCCUGCGCCUCGAGUUCCUCGAGGACGCGCCUGAGGAGGCGGCCGCCGCUGCCGGGGACGC
RNAcentral lists this unclassified non-coding RNA (238 nucleotides) under Pollicipes pollicipes. RNAcentral describes it as "tetratricopeptide repeat protein 1-like, transcript variant X3". Lineage: Eukaryota; Metazoa; Arthropoda; Thecostraca; Pollicipedomorpha; Pollicipedidae. The record is from RNAcentral.